This 468-nucleotide ribosomal RNA is filed under the name uncultured bacterium. Its description in RNAcentral is "partial 16S ribosomal RNA". It matches the Rfam family "Bacterial small subunit ribosomal RNA", at positions 28 to 507 of the family's 1533-position model. The record is from RNAcentral.
GACGAACGCUGGCGGCGUGCUUAACACAUGCAAGUCGAACGGAAAGGCCCUGCUUUUGUGGGGUGCUCGAGUGGCGAACGGGUGAGUAACACGUGAGUAACCUGCCCUUGACUUUGGGAUAACUUCAGGAAACUGGGGCUAAUACCGGAUAGGAGCUCCUGCUGCAUGGUGGGGGUUGGAAAGUUUCGGCGGUUGGGGAUGGACUCGCGGCUUAUCAGCUUGUUGGUGGGGUAGUGGCUUACCAAGGCUUUGACGGGUAGCCGGCCUGAGAGGGUGACCGGGGACAUGGGGACUAAGGGACGGCGCAGAGGCGAAAGGGAGGCAAAAGUGGGGAGUAUGGUAAAAUGGGGGGGAGCGUGAGAAAGAAGCGCGGGGAGCGGGAAGAAGGGUAAGGGGGGAUAAAGGGCAGUAAGCUGAGACGAAGCGGGAGUGACGGUAAUAGGUAAAGAAGCACCGGCUAACUACGUG